GAAACUGGAUCGGGAAUGGGGGAAACUGGAUCGGGAAUGGGGAACCCUGGAUCGGGAAUGUGGGACUCUGGAUUGGGAAUGAGGGACCCUGGAUCGGGAAUGGGAAACCUGGAUCGGGAAUGGGGGAUCCUGGAUUGGGAAUGGGGGAUCCUGGAUUGGGAAUGGGGGAAACUAUUGGGAAUGGGGGACCCUGGACUGGGAAUGAGGGACCCUGGAUCGGGAACAAGGGAAACUGCAUCGGGAAUGAGGGAAACUGGAUCGGGAGUGGGGGAUCCUGGAUUGGGAAUGGGGGACCUCAGAUCGGGAAUGAGGGAGACCAGAUCGGGAAUGAUCAAACCCAUAUCGGGAAUGAUCCAAACCUGGAUCCGAAAUUAUCAAACACAGAUUGGGAGUGAUCCAACCUGUAUCGAGAAUGACUCAAACCUGAAUUGGGAAUGAUCUGACCCCGGAUAGGGAGUGAUCCAACCCGGACUGGGGAUGAUUGGAACCUGGAUUGGGAAUGAUCAAACCUGCAUCCAACCUGGCCUUGGAUACUCCCAAUGAUCCAGGGGCAGCCACAGCUUCUCUGGGCAACCUGGGCCAGGGCCUGCCCACCCUCCCAGGGAACAAUUCCUUCCCCAUAUCCCAUCUCUCCCUGCCCUCUGGCAGUGGGAAGCCAUUCCCUGUGUCCUGUCCCUCCAUCCCUUGUCCCCAGUCCCUCUCCAGCUCUCCUGGAGCCCCUUUAGGCCCUGCAAGGGGCUCUCAGGUCUCCCUGGAGCCUUCUCCAGGUGAACCCCCCCAGCUGUCCCAGCCUGGCUCCAGAGCAGAGGGGCUCCAGCCCUGGCAGCAUCUCCGUGGCCUCCUCUGGACUCUCUCCAGCAGCUCCACGUGCUCCCUGUGCUGGGAUCCCAGGGCUGGACACUGUUCCCACUGGGAUCUCACCUGAGAGGGGCAGGAUGCCUCUCCCCUGCAGGGGUGGAAUGAGCCCCAGGAGGAAAAGCAGGAGCAGGAAGCUGAGGUCAGCCAGGCUCAGGCAUCCCUCCGGUGACAGAUGGCCCUUCCCUUCCCACCAGGAGCUGGGAGGCUCUUCCCGAGCACCUGGGAACAGACAGGAGCUGCCACCUGCAGCCUCAGGAUUCUCUGGCACAUCCUGGAUCCAGAGCUGCUGAUCCCCAUUGGAUCCAGGGCUGCUGCUCCCCAAAAUGUUGAGGAAACCAACAGAAGUGAAUUAAAACAUUCCAAGAUGUAUUUUA
Long non-coding RNA from Myiozetetes cayanensis, 1232 nucleotides. RefSeq lists it as uncharacterized. The record is from RefSeq and is a predicted model, not a curated record. Lineage: Eukaryota; Metazoa; Chordata; Aves; Passeriformes; Tyrannidae. The transcript is spliced from 2 exons.